GAGGGUCUAGCUCAGUGGUAGAGUGCCUGCUUAGCAUGCAUGAGGUCCUGGGUUCAAUCCUCAGUACUUCCA
Molecule: transfer RNA, 72 nt
Filed under: Camelus bactrianus (Bactrian camel)
Lineage: Eukaryota; Metazoa; Chordata; Mammalia; Artiodactyla; Camelidae
Also listed under: 2 other names
Rfam family: tRNA
About the family: Transfer RNA (tRNA) molecules are approximately 80 nucleotides in length. Their secondary structure includes four short double-helical elements and three loops (D, anti-codon, and T loops). Further hydrogen bonds mediate the characteristic L-shaped molecular structure. tRNAs have two regions of fundamental functional importance: the anti-codon, which is responsible for specific mRNA codon recognition, and the 3' end, to which the tRNAs corresponding amino acid is attached (by aminoacyl-tRNA synthetases). tRNAs cope with the degeneracy of the genetic code in two manners: having more than one tRNA (with a specific anti-codon) for a particular amino acid; and 'wobble' base-pairing, i.e. permitting non-standard base-pairing at the 3rd anti-codon position.
Source: Rfam by way of RNAcentral